CCUACGGGAGGCAGCAGUGGGGAAUAUUGGGCAAUGGGCGCAAGCCUGACCCAGCAACGCCGCGUGAAGGAAGAAGGCUUUCUGGUUGUAAACUUCUUUUAUCAGGGACGAAUCAAGUGACGGUACCUGAUGAAUAAGCCACGGCUAACUAGGUGCAAGCAGCCGCGGUAAUACGUAGGUGGCAAGGGUUAUCCGGAUUUACUGGGUUUAAGGGUAGGUUAGGCGGGAGGUCAAGUCAGAUGGUAAAACUAUGGGCUCAACCCAGAGCCUGCAUUUGAAACUGUAAUUCUUGAGUGCUGGAGAGGCAAUCGGAAUUCCGAGUGUAGCGGUGAAAUGCGUAGAUAUAAGGAGGAACAGCAGUGGCGAAGGCGAAUUGCUGGACAGUAACUGACGCUGAGGCGCGAAAGCGUGGGGAGCAAACAGGAUUAGAUACCCUUGUAGUC
This 443-nucleotide ribosomal RNA is filed under the name uncultured bacterium. RNAcentral's name for it is "partial 16S ribosomal RNA". It matches the Rfam family "Bacterial small subunit ribosomal RNA", at positions 338 to 795 of the family's 1533-position model. The record is from RNAcentral.